Molecule: long non-coding RNA, 933 nt
Filed under: Astyanax mexicanus (Mexican tetra)
Lineage: Eukaryota; Metazoa; Chordata; Actinopteri; Characiformes; Acestrorhamphidae
Description: lncRNA (ENSAMXG00005023592.1)
Source: RNAcentral
CAUAUGCAAUAAUAAAAUUUAGUUUUCAUUUUGUUGUAGUAGUGUAUUCUUGAAAUAAUUGUUUUUAAUUCAGUGUUUUGUCAUAUCGCCAAGAGUUUCAUUAUCGCGAAAAUACCACGAAAUAUCGUGAUAUUAUUUUAGGGCCAUAUCACCCACCCCUAGUAGGUGGUAGUGAUCGGUAACGGUGACUAUGGCAGAAAUCACAUCCACAUUUAAUGCAGAAAGCCCUACAAACAUAUCCCACAGAUCAGUACAGCAUACUGUAGCUUCUAUGGGACGUGACAAAAGUCAUGGAACAGGAUACUAGUUUCUGUCACAUUACUUUUGGCAUGUCAGUGUAUAUUAACUGCAUUAACCUUCAUUAUCUCCAAUGAAAUGCUUAAAAAAGGCCAACUUUGAGUACUAAAGAUGUUAUGUAUAUGUUAAUUAUGUUAAUGCAAUUACAAUUGUAUGUAUGCAAUCUCCCUCACCAUGAAGGCAAUGUACACCUCUACUAUGAAUGACGAGAAUGGACCAGGACUGAAACAGGAGGGCGUUGCCGGUGUCCUUGAUUCACUCCGGCAGAGAGGAAAGGCCAAGAAAGAAAGAAUUCUUCUCAGAGACAUUACUCAGUUCACAAACAUCCAGAGGACACUACACACUGCUAGUGCUCAGACAGAGUCGGGCAUCGCUGCGGUCAAAGAGGCGGAUGUUCAGCAGUUGGCAGAAUAUUUGGAGGUGAGUUUAAAGCAUCUUUAUAUCAAAUGAUUAAGAUGCGUUAUUGUCAUUUUGCAUUUGGUCUGUUUGUAGCAUUAUAUGACAUCCUGAGAAAAAGUGUAAAAAUACACAAUAUAAUUAGUGACGAUAUUUUAGCUGGUCCUGUAAUGACCAAUACAUCAAAAGCUGUGUAACUGCGACAGGUGAAGACAGGUUACCUGAGGCUAAUAUAUUAGC